This 393-nucleotide ribosomal RNA is filed under the name uncultured bacterium. RNAcentral's name for it is "partial 16S ribosomal RNA". It matches the Rfam family "Bacterial small subunit ribosomal RNA", at positions 523 to 918 of the family's 1533-position model. The record is from RNAcentral.
AUACGGAGGAUGCAAGCGUUAUCCGGAUUUAUUGGGUUUAAAGGGUGCGUAGGCGGUUUGCUAAGCGGGAGGUGAAAUGCCGGCGCUCAACGUCGGAAGUGCCUCCCGAACUGGUGGACUGGAAUGACUCUGCCGUGGGAGGAAUGUGCAGUGUAGCGGUGAAAUGCUUAGAGAUUACACAGAACACCGAUUGCGAAGGCAUCUCACGAAGGGUUGAUUGACGCUGAGGCACGAAAGCGUGGGGAUCAAACAGGAUUAGAUACCCUGGUAGUCCACGCAGUAAACGAUGAUGGCUAACCGCUGGUUUAUUCGGAUCAGUGGCCAAGCGAAAGCGAUAAGCCAUCCACCUGGGGAGUACGACCGCAAGGUUGAAACUCAAAGGAAUUGACGGGG